This is a transfer RNA of 74 nucleotides. It matches the Rfam family "tRNA". Rfam says of the family: Transfer RNA (tRNA) molecules are approximately 80 nucleotides in length. Their secondary structure includes four short double-helical elements and three loops (D, anti-codon, and T loops). Further hydrogen bonds mediate the characteristic L-shaped molecular structure. tRNAs have two regions of fundamental functional importance: the anti-codon, which is responsible for specific mRNA codon recognition, and the 3' end, to which the tRNAs corresponding amino acid is attached (by aminoacyl-tRNA synthetases). tRNAs cope with the degeneracy of the genetic code in two manners: having more than one tRNA (with a specific anti-codon) for a particular amino acid; and 'wobble' base-pairing, i.e. permitting non-standard base-pairing at the 3rd anti-codon position.
GUCGUAUUCGUCUAGUGGCUCAGGACACAAGGUUUUCAUCCUUGUAGACGCGGGUUCGAAUCCCGCAUACGACU